This 297-nucleotide ribosomal RNA is filed under the name uncultured Pseudomonadota bacterium. Its description in RNAcentral is "uncultured proteobacterium partial 16S ribosomal RNA". It matches the Rfam family "Bacterial small subunit ribosomal RNA", at positions 28 to 351 of the family's 1533-position model. The record is from RNAcentral. Lineage: Bacteria; Pseudomonadati; Pseudomonadota.
GAUGAACGCUGGCGGUAUGCUUUACACAUGCAAGUCGUACGAGAGUUUUUAACUCAAGUGGCGGACGGGUGAGUAACACGUAAGAAUUUGCCUUUAGGAGGGGGAUAACAACUGGAAACGGUUGCUAAUACCCCAUAUGCUUUUGAGUGAAACGGUUUUUCCGCCUAAAGAGAAGCUUGCGGCUGAUUAGCUUGUUGGUGAGGUAAUGGCUCACCAAGGCGACGAUCAGUAUCUGGUUUGAGAGGACGAUCAGACACACUGGAACUGAGACACGGUCCAGACUCCUACGGGAGGCUG